Caretta caretta (loggerhead turtle) is the source of this 7931-nucleotide RNA transcript. It is a transcript of the gene named myosin VIIA and Rab interacting protein, with no coding region annotated. Lineage: Eukaryota; Metazoa; Chordata; Testudines; Cheloniidae. The record is from RefSeq and is a predicted model, not a curated record.
GGCGCGCGGAGCGGGGGGGAUGGCAGGAGCCGACUGCAACCGCAGCGCCUUGCACUGCAAUCGCAGCCUGUAGGCGCUUCCUGUAGGGAGCGGCUCCAGCGGGGAGCCCAGCGCUGCCCCUUUCCCCGGGCGCUCCCCAGGCGGGAGCAAGCGGCGCCCUGCUGCCCUGUGCUCUUCCCUUCUGGGAUGCUGGCUGGAGCUGGGGGCACGCCGACCGGCCUCAGCCAGGAGUUCCCUGCGGCGUGCGGGGGAUAGGAGUAGCCGGGGCAGCGUUGGAGAGCAGCCCAACAGCAGUAGCGAAGGGAUAGAUCAAAUAAUGGGGAGGAAACUGGAUCUAUCUGGUUUGACAGAUGAUGAAGCAGAGCAUGUUCUUCAGGUGGUCCAACGAGAUUUCAGCCUUCGCAAGAAAGAAGAGGAGAGGCUGAGCGAAAUGAAGCAGAAACUUGACGAAGAGGGUAACAAGUGCAGCAUCCUUUCUAAGCAGCAGAAGUUUACUGAGCGCUGUUGCAUUCGCUGUUGCUCUCCUUUUACAUUUCUCAUCAAUAGCAAGCGUCAGUGCCAAGACUGCAAAUACAACAUCUGCAAGAACUGCAGCUCCUAUCAGAAGAAGGACAAGGCAUGGCUCUGCAAUGUCUGCCAGCAGGCUAGACUCCUGAGGACCCAGUCCCUGGAAUGGUAUUACAAUAAUGUGAAAAGUCGCUUCAAGCGUUUUGGUAGUGCCAAAGUCCUGAAGAAUUUAUACAGAAAACAUAGACUGGAGAGCGGCGUUUGUUCUGAAAUAAUAGAAGGAAGCUUUUUUGAAGGAAGCGUAGAAAAUGAAGGAAGCAUUUGUGGCAGUGACUCUACAUUCUACAGGCAGACAGAAGGACAUAGUAUGAUGGACACCCUAGCUGUGGCCUUACGUGUGGCAGAAGAAGCAGUAGAAGAAGCCAUUUCCAAGGCAGAGACAUAUGGUGAAAGCCUGGACAAACAGAACGAGGCUUGUUAUUUACGGGAACAUAAGGAGGAGCUGAUUGAAGAGCUUGCCACUACCAUAGUGCAGAAGAUUAUAAGAAAGCAAAAAGGUAAAGCUGAGCAGGCGGAGGCUGAUUUUGAUUGGCCACAGUCCAGAAGCAGCGGUCUGGCAUCUGUUGCUGUUUCAGAUCAGAGCAUGCUGACUUUUCCAGGCAGUCGCAGGGGAUCCUACACAUUGUGGAGGUCUCAGUCUGCAUUCUCACUGACUAGUGAAGAUACACCAAGCAAAGAUCUGGACCUGGUGUCUUCUAUGCCUGAGAUUCUCUGGAGGCAGCAGAAAGGCCUAGUCAGGAGACAGAGGGAACACAAACUGUCUGCGUUACCUAGCUGGAAAAGUGUGGACAGACUGAAUGAAACAAGUCCACCCCCUGUUUUACAAAGCACUGAUGGGAACUGGGUGGCUUUGCAGAGCAUUACAUUGCCUCGCCCUCGAAUGCUUGCCAAACCAAAGAGCCAAGUAUUCAAAGCUUUGGAGAACGAAUCUAGUGUUGUGUCUGCUUAUGACGAGAUGGGCUCGGAUAGCGAGGACGACUAUGACUGGAAUGUGGCCUUGAACAAGCUGCGUCGAAGGCCCAAGCAGUUGUCCGAGGAUUCUUAUUAUACCGAUUCCCAGUACAAUACUGAAUGGGCUUAUGGCAGUGAUCCAUACCAGCCAGUGACCUCUCCUUCAUCUGGGCUAUACACCAAUACAGAGACGGUGUACUCUGAUUCUGAAACAUCUUCAGUAAAUUCCUCAAGGGAGGCUAGAGAAUCUAGCAAGCUUCCCUGGCUACAAAGGAGAACUCAGAGUGACAAACCCAGAGUGGAAAAAGCACAUUUACAUGGAGAACUGGAUGUAAAUUUCAAUCCACAGGCUGACAGUUUAGAGUAUUCAGAUAGCAGUGAGACUGAGGAAGUCUAUUAUGAUUUAGAAAAGAGGUCUAGAAGGUGGAGAAAGAGCAAAAUUGUCUCCGAAGAAUUACGUGAAGGAAAAAAUCACACAAAAACCCACAAGAAGAAUUUGAGCAUAAAUCAGGUUUCUGAGGAUGUAUCGGAAGCUGAUAUAAGCAGUGAGGAUCAACACCAUAACAUCAAGACAGACCUUGUUGAGGAAAAGCUUAAAUCUGAGUUAUUUGAACUAGCUGCUAAAAUGAGUGACAAGGAAACCUCUUCUGGUGAAGAGCAGGAGUCCGUGCUUAGAACAGAAUCGGAGACCCAGAAGGAAAGUUUGUCCUCAGAAGAAAAUGGCAAAAACAUUCAGGAGGAGUUGAAGAAGGAAAAACAAAAGGCUUUUGAUCUCCAUUUAAAACUGCAGGUUUUAUCCUCAGUAUUACAGCAGAAGUACUCUGCUGUCUCUCUCUGCAACAUAUCUACAGAGGUCCUAAAAGUCAUCAAUGCCACAGAGGAACUGAUAGCAGAAUCCACCAGUCCCUGUGAUUUCCCAGCAGAUACUCAUGACAGAGGGAGAGGGGCAUUUCCACUAGGUACAGACCCUGUCAGACUCGAUGAGCAGCUCACCACCUUGGAAGAAAAUGUGUACCUGACAGCCGGCACUGUGUACGGCUUAGAGGGCCAGCUGAAUGAAUUAGAGGCUGCAGCACGCAAAAUCAACAGUGUUACAGCGGAAUCGGAACUAGCUGAGCUGGAGGAUCAGGUAGCCACAGCAGCAGCACAAGUUCAUCAUGCAGAGCUUCAGAUUUCAGAUAUCGAGAGCAGAAUUUCAGCUCUCAGUGUUGCAGGCUUGAACGUGGCUCCAUGUGUUCACCUGACAAGAAAAAGGGAUCAAAAGCAAAUGAACCAGAUGCAAACAAUAGACACAUCAAGACAGCAGAGGAGAAAGCUUCCAGCUCCACCGGUAAAAGGUGAAAAUAUUGAUGCUUCUCCAGUUACUACUGUUAGAACAUUUAACAGAAACUUUAUGCUCCAAGGAUCUCUAACACAAAGAACUAAAGAGAGAAAAAGUACUGCCAAGGACUUGAUGGUGGAGUAUAGGAGUAGACUGGACAGCGAUCAGCGGUCGAUUUGGCAGGUCUAGAGAAGACCCGCUAAAUCGACCACCGAUGCAUUGAUCGCCAUGUGUGGAACCCCCGGAACCAACUAUAGGAUCUGCUGUAAUGUACUAGACUUACAAAACUACUGCCAAUAACACACUGCCUAAGGCUGUACACUAUAGUGCCUUUAUUUAACAGCCAUUGUAUAUGUCCAAUAGAAACCGGACCCUCGAGAACCCACCAUGCCUCAGUAAUAGGGCUUUGUUUGGAUACCUCACUGAGAAAGCUGUCCAGCAUUGCGGUCUGCUAAUGGAAACUCUGCCUUAAAGUUCUCAUGAGACUCCAGAAAGGAUACUGAGUUUCAUAAGCAAGGCUCCAUGUUUUAAGAUGCACUCCCCCCCCCCACACCCCCAUUGAUUGUACUAAAGUAUAUUGUCUUUAAAAUACAAUAUGUUUUUGCAUACUUAAUUCAACGAUAACUGUUGGUCAAUAUUUCAUGUGAAGAGAAAGAUAAAAAACAAACCUGUGAUCCAUAUUUGCUGGCACGUUUGACGCUGAGUUCAGUGUUUGUAGAUCAGUCCCAAUGGCAUUUUCUAAAAGAUCCUCUGUAUGCUGAUAGAGCAACUUUGGCUGACUUAUUAUUCUGUCUCCAGACGUGGGCUGUGUGGAUGCUAAAGGAGCAGUUGACAUUUGCGAUAGGCUGGCACGUUCCACCGUAGCAUACUGUGGUGGGGGACACGCAUGUAUCAUGUCUACAAAAAGACCCAUUCUGAGUCAUUAUUUUGGCAUCUGAGGCAUCUGACAAACAUUGCAAAAUCAACACCUUGCUCCUCUAUGCUUAGAAGCAUAUUCCAUUUUAGGCAGUGUCCUAAAUAUUUGUUGCACACAGCAGGUGCAUCUCUGAAUGAAGCCCUAUCAAAUGUUUUAAGAUUACAAAAUUAGAAUAAAACAAUGCUAUGUGUUAGAUAUUGUUCAAAGAAAGUGCUUCCUGAAACAUAUUUUUCAACAUUAAGGGCUAGUUAUAAAAGGCCCUUAUACAGGUGCUAAGAGGGGGAAUAGCACACGAGGGGCAUCUCCCUUCCCCUCCCUUUCAUGAUGCAUGGAAGGGCCUUUCAGAAUUGCAGUCCCUUUGCUCUGAGGAGUGCUGGGACUGCUUUCCCCUGUAACCAAAAGGAAGCAGAGAGGAGAUGGGGCCAUGGCCCUUCCCCCCUUCCCUGCCGACCCACAGAGCAGGAUCAGUGCACAGAGGGUGCUGAGCUGUGCACCAUACAGGAGCGUAGCUGCAGACAAGCUCUCCCUGCGUCCCAAAGAGCUUCGGGACGCAGAAUGCCUCCUGAAGCUCCACCAGGGGUAGCACCUCUUUGUAUGGCCACCAGUGCUGGUCAUUACUUAAUGGGCAGUAUAGAACCCUAAGGAGCGAUUGGUCUAUUUAACCACAGAUGUUGAGAAAUAAAUUUUAAAAUGUGCAGUAAUUUAAAAGUUGGGGACAUUAAACAGCUUCUGAUGGAUUCAAGAAAUGAUGGCCAAAAUUUUCAGAUUUGGGUGCUUUAACUUAGGCACCUUGAUCUGCAUUUAGGCUAGCUAGAGAAGAGCAGCCUGGCUGUCAGAAAUGCUGAGGAUUCACAGCUCCCAUCGUCCACCUCAGUAACGGUGGGUGCCCAGCACUACUGAAAAUUGGGCACACAUUGGAGGUAGCCAUUUUGGUAGUUUGGGCCUGUAUAGCGAAGAGAUGGAAUCGUUUUGGUUUAGCAAGAUCUGGUCAGUAGGCUUGGAUUCUGCAUGACUAAAACUAAGGAGCAGUUCAGAUCCAGCUUCCAUUUUGUCCAAGCCCACCCAGACCCGGUCAGAGUAGCCAGAUAAAUGGUUCCAGUGUGAACUUCCCUCCUAAUUUGAAGUCUCCUUACCAGUGCAAUUGGAUCAUCCAAUUAUUUGAAAAGAAUUUGGUCCAAUUUUGAAGUAUAGGGCCAUAUCCCCUACUGGUAGAAAUCCCCAUAGUUCCACGGAUAUCAGUGGAACUAUGGUGAUUUACACCAGUUGAAGAUCUAGCCCAGGAUGGUCAUUCUGGGCUAAAUUAUGCGUUGUGUUAUUCUCAUGCAAUCCUCAUUGCCUUCAAUUUGUUCAAGUAUGAGGACAGAACUUGGUCCAGUGUGUUUAAAAAUAGUGUGUGUGUCCACACACCAUCUAGUGAAGGAGAUUAAACAGAGUAGGAUGCCUAAUACAUUUGUCAAUCUCCAUCUAGUAGACUGUUCUCCUGUGUGUGUAUAAUACAUUCCCAAAUAAUUGUUUAUGCAGGUAUGCGUGUCAUGAAACGUCACUAAUAGUGGUUGGUUUACAUAUUUGUCUAAUAAUACGCUAAUACUGUGUAUGUAAUAUCAAUUCAGAAAUGACUAAUUUUACUAGAUUAAUGGCUUUUGUUCUGUUAGUGUGAUUUAAAAAACAGACUUUGGAGUAGGAUGUUUUCCAUAAGAGGCAUGAAAAGCAACUACUGUUGUUACAAUGUUAAGUCUUCUUUGACAAAAAUGUGUAUUGUGUAGGUAUUGCAAAACAAAAAACAAAACAAACCCUGCCCCGCCCCGCUACAUGGUAUUUGCAUUUUUACAGAUUUACUUGUGCCAAAUAUGUGCAAAAAUUUAAUUUACUAUUUGAAAAAAAUCAUAAAAAACAUGUUAUAGCACACAAAGAAUUAUUUUGUCAUCAAGUGAUUUCAAUCUUUAGUGUUAAUAUUUAUAUUUAGAUUAAUUUUUAUAAAUGAAAAUAUUUUAAUGGUUAAAAAAAUUAAGACUAUAUAAUGAUCUAUUUGAUUAAGUCUGAGUGAAAGUAAAGCUUGCCUUGUUGUUGUUAUCUGCGUAUUCACCAGGAAUUAUUGUUAAGAGAAAUUAUAAGAGUAAAAGCAAUUUAUGAAAAAGAAUGCCUUUGCAGGGACCUGAUUCAUAAAGAAAAAGAAAAUAAAUCUCCUGUUGUUUGGAUUUCUGGGCACUUUACUCAGAAAAGGUGCAGACUGAACUGCCACACGUUUGAGUAGUGUGGUAGGUGCUCCACCCUGGCAGUAUAGGAACCUGCUGUACAUAAAUGGCCUCUUCUCCACUGGGUCUUUCACAGCUAUGCAGCUCAAAAAAGGACUGCGGUAUUCCAGUGUGUGAAAUGCACUAAUUUAGCCAGGGAGGGAUCGAGGCACACACACUUCCCUUCAGAUUGAUUUUAGAGGAAAAAGAAAAGAGCCCUUUAAGAAAUUUAUUACAUCCUUCUAAACCAUAUGCACACUGUGCUAAAUACAGUCCCUCGACUGGCAGAAUUCCCAUAAUGCAGGUUUAAGAGCUGGGUUGGGUAACCUCAGGCUUUGGUCCUCUCUAAAUACAUAGAGAGCAUCUUCAUUUCCUAUGUGUCCCUGUUCUAAUCUGUCCAAUGCAAGUUUCAUGGCAUGUGGCAGGUUCCUUGCAGGGAUCACAUUCACUUUUAUCUUUUUGCUCUACAUUCUUGCAAGUGAUAACAAAUGUCCCAAACCCCAGGCUCUAUCUUCCUCAUGAUUAAGAGAAUCACUUUCCUCGCCCAGCUGGAAUUGUGCAGGCUCAGGCUUUUACUGCUAUAGCUUGCACUUUUCCAUCUCUGGGCUGCGGGCAGCCUAGCAGUGAGUGCUUUGCAUUUGGCCUGUUCCUUUGAAAAAUGCUAUGGAAAUGUAGUCGCCCCCAGUGGUGCUCAUAUUCACAGUGCUGUGGAGAACAAGCCUUCCUUCAAGUGAGUAUUAAAUGGUCAGAUUAGGGCUGCAGCAUGCUUUCACAGAAAAGACGUGCAUGUCAAAAACUGCCUCAACCAGCUAUCUGGAGAUUUUCCUCACAGAAGCAGAAUCCCCUGACUGGCAUAGAGCCGGAGCAGCAGUUAUACAGUACACAUCUUCCGGCCCUUGGAAUAGGGGGCAUGGGUGCAGCAGUGCUGAGUUCCAGUCAACCUUGACCACCCGAAUGACUUACUGAGGGCCAGGAGCUAGUGCCACUCUCAAUUCUUCAGGCCUGGACCAGUGGCACAAUCUUGAGCAUCUGACCCAGUGUGUUCAUCUUGUGUGGGAGUCCCAGGCCAAGUUGGGGCUAGGUCUGAUAUACUGUUUGCCCUCCUCUAUUACAAAAUCUGUGUGAGCUGUUGAAUUUCCUCUCUGUAGUGGUACAGGAGCUACCAAGGCUGAUAGUAGAUUUAUUUUAACAGCCAAAUGGAUGAUGACCAUAGUAAGAACUCCAGAUAAUCCCAGCUGAUUUCCAGCUCAGUUUACAUAUCUGCCCACACUCAUGGUACAGGUAUCUUAGCUUGGGUUAGAGGUCAAGUAGUUGGCAACUAGACUAGCAUCAGGAACUGAACAUUUCCAUUAGCUCUUGCAUUGAGGUUGGGCCAUACCAACCUCAGUGACAUGAGGGAUCUAUUUUAAGGGUACACACCCUUGUAGGCUAAUGGAACUAGAGUGAUUCCAAAAGGCCAUUGGGAGGAGACAGUGUUCCUUUGACAGGCCACUGUGGCCAAGAUUUUAUAGGAUUGUGUAGGAAUUAUGUUUUUGAUUAAGCUAUGCAGGUGGUUUUGGUAUAAUGUGACAAAACACCAUAUUACCUAACAGCAUCCUAUCUUUCUUAAGGUAAGCAUGACAGAGGCUUCAUUGGUCGUGGUGGUAGAUUGUCUUUUUGUUAUUAUUCAAGCAAUUGCUGUGUCUAACAAGUCUGAAUGAUUGGCUUUAAAAACCUGGAGUAGUGCUGAGUUCAUAAGCUAUCCACAAACACUCGUAAAAAAGGUAACCACAAUAAUAUGUGACUUGGGUCACACCUCAUAUGAGCAACAAAUAGUGGAUAUGCAUAGCAAGCAUUCUACAAACAAGCCCAGGGCUCAAAUUCUUUCACACAAACUAUUUGUCAAAUAACUGAAAAAUGCCAUCAAGUCUGUAAAAAUAAAAUAGCCUAUUUUUCUGCCUCUGAA